Molecule: transfer RNA, 72 nt
Filed under: Camelus ferus (Wild Bactrian camel)
Lineage: Eukaryota; Metazoa; Chordata; Mammalia; Artiodactyla; Camelidae
Rfam family: tRNA
About the family: Transfer RNA (tRNA) molecules are approximately 80 nucleotides in length. Their secondary structure includes four short double-helical elements and three loops (D, anti-codon, and T loops). Further hydrogen bonds mediate the characteristic L-shaped molecular structure. tRNAs have two regions of fundamental functional importance: the anti-codon, which is responsible for specific mRNA codon recognition, and the 3' end, to which the tRNAs corresponding amino acid is attached (by aminoacyl-tRNA synthetases). tRNAs cope with the degeneracy of the genetic code in two manners: having more than one tRNA (with a specific anti-codon) for a particular amino acid; and 'wobble' base-pairing, i.e. permitting non-standard base-pairing at the 3rd anti-codon position.
Source: Rfam by way of RNAcentral
GAGGGUGUAGCUCAGUGGUAGAGUGCGUGCUCUGCAUGCACGAGGCACUGGGUUUAAUUUCCAAUACCUCCA